Molecule: long non-coding RNA, 1494 nt
Organism: Lingula anatina
Lineage: Eukaryota; Metazoa; Brachiopoda; Lingulata; Lingulida; Lingulidae
Source: RefSeq, a predicted model, not a curated record
UAAAUGUAAUAUAACACCUUGAGUUGAGGUUGACAUGUAGCUGCGGGUGAUUUUAUAUUAACUUACACGCGACUUAUUGCAUCCAUAUCCAUACCUCUUUAGAGGUAAUAUCACAACUAAAAAACUGCAGUAUGACAGGAUCAGUGAUGUUUACUAUUCUGGUCGGUUUUGCCAUCAUUGCUGGCAGCACAGUUUUUCCUGUGGAAACUAGAAAAGCUUCUGCGGAACCUGCCAAGUUCCAGUGUCCUGAACCGCAGCCGUGCACACCCAUUCCAUCCACCUGUAUCAAGACGGUUACCCCUUAUGGUCUCUACUUCGGCGGCUUAGUAUGCGCAGAAUGUCCUGUGUGUGAGAUUUAUAAAUCCCCAGAUUUAACAUUGUAGGUAUCCAUUUUUCGACAAAUUUCCACAUAAAAUAAAUAGAAUCGUUUCAAAAAAUCAUCAUCGAAAAAAAUGAAACAUAGAUGAGCCUUUAUAUAUCUCCACCCCCACUAGCCCACAAAGCGAUCCUGACUUCAAAUGUAGCAUUUUACAAACUCAUGUCCUUUCAGGUGCUCGAUGAUUCCCGGAUGUAUUCAAAUGCCGAGUGACUGCCUUAUACAGUUGCCUACAGGUUACCUCUCAGACGCUUGUGAUAAAACCUGUUUCCUCUGUCCAGUGUGCAUUCUGACCAAGAGAAUACCGUAAAAUUGCGUUCAAGGUUCCAAGUUUUGUUCCACUGUAAUAGAUGAAAUUAUCUACUAUUUUGACUUUGUUACAGUGUAUACCGCAACAGGCCCGUAGCCAGAAAUUUCAAAAGGGGGGUUCUUUUUCUGAAAAAGUGGACCUUUUACCAUACAACUUUCAUGUACCUUUAUUAAAUUUCACCCAGAGGGGACCUUUUCCCUGCAAAAAGGGGGGUUCUUUCGAACCCCCCGAAUCCCCCCCCCCCUGGCUACGGGCCUGCGCAAUUAUUGUCAAAGCACAAUGUGUUUCAAAUAGAUCUUAAAUUUUAAAACAUAGGGACGAGACUUUGCAUCAAAAUGUGGCGAGUGUUUUGAUUGAUGAUUAUGAUAUGAAUAAUAAACUGUAACAUCUACGAUCACAAAUAAGUGGUUUUUGUAUAUUUUGUAUCAACGUGUAUUGUUAUGUUCUAGAGAUAACUGGUGUCAAACAUGCACCUUAACAGAGCAAAAUGCUUUUUAAAAUAAUAAUCCUAAACAAUGUCAAAAAGUAUUGUUGUACAAAACAUGAAUCGAAAAACUAAAUACAUUUGGACACUGAAAGGUAUAACUGUACGCUUUUGAAUGGCCAGUCAUUUAGAACUAAAUCAAAAUGGAGAACAUCGAAUACAAGUGCAGUGACGUAUCGAGCAAUGAUUCGUUAGUAAGAAAUAUUGUUUUUCCUCGUGGAAUAUUAAGUUUGGUGGCUAAAUCCAGUAUAGAGUACCUAUAAGUUAAUAUUAAAUAUAUCCUGUUGUACCACAAAAACGACAGUUAUAGCUAUUAUUUCGAUA